UGCGGCGUGCUUACACUGCAAGUCGAACGGUGAACACGGAGCUUGCUCUGUGGGAUCAGUGGCGAACGGGUGAGUAACACGUGAGCAACCUGCCCCUGACUCUGGGAUAAGCGCUGGAAACGGCGUCUAAUACUGGAUAUGUGACGUGACCGCAUGGUCUGCGUCUGGAAAGAAUUUCGGUUGGGGAUGGGCUCGCGGCCUAUCAGCUUGUUGGUGAGGUAAUGGCUCACCAAGGCGUCGACGGGUAGCCGGCCUGAGAGGGUGACCGGCCACACUGGGACUGAGACACGGCCCAGACUCCUACGGGAGGCAGCCAGUGGGGAAUAUUGCACCAUGGGCGCAAGCCUGAUGCAGCAACGCCCCGUGAGGGACGACCGCCUUCGGGUUGGAAACCUCCUUU
RNAcentral lists this ribosomal RNA (400 nucleotides) under Microbacterium sp. FS10(2011). RNAcentral's name for it is "bacterial SSU rRNA". It matches the Rfam family "Bacterial small subunit ribosomal RNA", at positions 39 to 437 of the family's 1533-position model. Lineage: Bacteria; Bacillati; Actinomycetota; Actinomycetes; Micrococcales; Microbacteriaceae. The record is from RNAcentral.